GACGAACGCUGGCGGCGUGCUUAACACAUGCAAGUCGAACGGAAAGGCCCUGCUUUUGUGGGUUGCUCGAGUGGCGAACGGGUGAGUAACACGUGAGUAACCUGCCCUUGACUUUGGGAUAACUUCAGGAAACUGGGGCUAAUACCGGAUAGGAGCUCCUGCUGCAUGGUGGGGGUUGGAAAGUUUCGGCUGUUGUGGAUGGACUCGCGGCUUAUCAGCUUGUUGGUGGGGUAGUGGCUUACCAAGGGUUUGACGGGUAGCCGGCCUGAGAGGGUGACCGGCCACAUUGGGACUGCGAUACGGACCAGACUCCUACGGGACGCAGCAGUGGGGAAUAUUGCACAAUGGGCGGAAGCCUGAUGCAGCAACGCCGCGUGCGGGAUGACGGCCUUCGGGUUGUAAACCGCUUUCGCCUGUGACGAAGCGUGAGUGACGGUAAUGGGUAAAGAAGCACCGGCUAACUACGUG
This 468-nucleotide ribosomal RNA is filed under the name uncultured bacterium. RNAcentral describes it as "partial 16S ribosomal RNA". It matches the Rfam family "Bacterial small subunit ribosomal RNA", at positions 28 to 507 of the family's 1533-position model. The record is from RNAcentral.